Cebus imitator (Panamanian white-faced capuchin) is the source of this 111-nucleotide long non-coding RNA. RefSeq lists it as uncharacterized. Lineage: Eukaryota; Metazoa; Chordata; Mammalia; Primates; Cebidae. The transcript has 3 exons. The record is from RefSeq and is a predicted model, not a curated record.
UUAAUAAAUGUUGUUGGGACAACUGGCUAGUCAUAUACUGAGGAAUGAAACUGGACCCCUUCCUUUCACCAAAUACAAAAAUUAACUCAAGAUGUAUUAAAGACCUAAAUG